GUGGGGAAUUUUCCGCAAUGGGCGAAAGCCUGACGGAGCAAUACCGCGUGAGGGAAGACGGCCUAUGGGUUGUAAACCUCUUUUUUCAGGGAGGAAUCAAUGACGUGUACCUGAAGAAUAAGCAUCGGCUAACUCCGUGCCAGCAGCCGCGGUAAGACGGAGGAUGCAAGUGUUAUCCGGAAUCACUGGGCGUAAAGCGUCUGUAGGUGGUUUAAUAAGUCAACUGUUAAAUCUUGGGGCUCAACCUCAAAAUCGCAGUCGAAACUAUUAGACUAGAGUAUAGUAGGGGUAAAGGGAAUUUCCAGUGGAGCGGUGAAAUGCGUAGAGAUUGGAAAGAACACCGAUGGCGAAGGCACUUUACUGGGCUAUAACUGACACUCAGAGACGAAAGCUAGGGUAGCAAAUGGGAUUAGAAACCCCAGUAGUCC
This 428-nucleotide ribosomal RNA is filed under the name uncultured bacterium. RNAcentral describes it as "bacterial SSU rRNA". It matches the Rfam family "Bacterial small subunit ribosomal RNA", at positions 354 to 796 of the family's 1533-position model. The record is from RNAcentral.